AUCAAUAAGGUAAAAGCUCGGGCUGCCCCAUCCUUAACACGCACCAGGCCCUGGGCCCAGCUUGAGGGGAAGCCAAGCAAGAUCCCCCAAAACACACAGAAGCAACAAUUAACAAAGGAGUAGCAGAUCCCCAGUAUCUCUGCUCAGCCAUUUCAGAGCUGCAGGCCAGAUUCUAAGCAGUGCUGGAUUGAUUUUCUCUGCAACUCUUUUGAAAAUAGUCAAAACUUGCUAUUUGCAAAAAUGCACAUGAAAGAAGUCAUUGAAGGAACACUCAGAAUAUGGGUAGACUUCCUUACACUUAUUUUAAUAUUAAGUAUUAUUUUCAUUUGAGUUACAUAUAAGGCAGGAUUACAGAAUUUGCUAGGCCUUGAAUCUAAGGGAGACACUGCCAGCGGCCACACUAGUUUCUGCCACACUCAUUUUGGCCUUGUGUCCCCUCCUCCUCUGGCAGUUGUAACCUCUCCUCCCUCUUCCUUCAUGCAGCAGAAAGUAUUUCUCAGGACAAGUCUCUUUACUUUCCCAGAGGACAAUUCUAAAUCAGCUCAUAGAGAGUUAUAAAUGAAGCUUGCUAUUCUUAAAUCCCAGGCUCAUUGGCCUGAUACUUCUCAUUCAAGAAUGAGUGUCUGCUUUUAAAACAGCCUGUUGUUCUUCAAUGCCACUUCUGCAGACACCCCCUGCCCACUCCCCCACUGCCUUUGCCACAAAGUGUUAGAAUGACAGCAAGAAGGAAAAAAGCACAACCUAUGGGGAAAAGAGGGAGGGAGAAGUUUUCUUCUUCCCAAAACUAGUAAAGAAUAUCUCCCCAUAUAAUAGUUACAGGGACCCUAUUUGUAAGGAGAAAACUGGAGGCUAUCAUAGAGUACCCUAAACUUCGCUUGUACAUGGAGACAUUUCUGCAUGUAACAAGAGCUAGUUAAUAAAAGUACUGUAAUCUGAGAGAGAAAGGGUUAUCAUCCAGCCAGCUGAAGCGUGGGGUAGGGGUGGGAUUGGGGGGCAGGCUCACUUUCCUCAAUUGCAAAAUAAGGGUACUGAAAUACAUGCAAGGAAAGGGGCCUCUUCUGGUGCUGAAAUUCAUGUACCGCAAUCAGUUUAUCCUAUACUUACUUUGAGAGCUUGCUAACAAUCUUUUUUCUGAGGGGGAAGUGAGGAGCACAAGAAAAGCUGACAACAGGACUCAGUCUGAACGAGAAGGGUCAUUCUGCAGGAGGACAGCGAUGCCAGUUUAAGCAUCCAGCAGGCCACCUCAUUCUUGGUCUUCUGCUCCAUGCCAGUCACAGCCAUUUGUGAAUGGUGAUGGUUCUGAUUUACCAUAUAUCCUCCCCCUCCCAUAUUUUCAAAAUGAAUGACUUGAAGGUGUGUGCUGGUGGUUGGCAGGAGGAUCUAGAAAGUUCCUGUGAUGCGUUACACCUAUCUAGCGGGAUUAGAGAGGCAGAGCACAUCAGGGGAAUGGAAAGGAAUGAGGACAAUAUACAGCUUCUAGGGAGUAAUUUGAUAGUACAGAAAAUGCUGUGGCCCUGGAUGGGGGAUUUGUAGAACAAAGUAGCUAGAGGAAGAGGAGAUGAAGAGGAGAUGAAAUGAUCCUCUGGGGAUAGAGGAAAAUAAGACACUGUCCUUUGAGUAUACAGAGCAUAAGAAGGCUUUAUACAAAACACAAACAAUGCUUCUUUUUUCAUAAGUCUAUCUUGAGCAUUUCCUUUUAUGCCGCAGAAUACAAACCUGGGAGAUCCCUCUAAGCUAAUUGGUCACUGCAGGGUAAACGUCAGUUUGAAAAGUAUUCUUUGGCUAAUUGCCUGAGGAUACAGUCAUCCUGGUUGGAAUACUGCUGAUUCAGUUAGGUUUCCCUUCCUGUGAAACCCACAUCUACUCCGAUCCUCACACCCCUUACAAAUGGUGCCUUCCUUACAUAUCUUUUCACAGCAUGGAAACAAAGAAGAGACAGAUGGGGACAAAAGCUGGAAGGAAAGGGUAGCAUGAUGAAAAAUGAGAAACUCUCCAAAAUGAAGAGUGGGCCCUUCAUGAAGUAAUUGUGCAUGGUGCCUCCAAGGCAACUGGCAUCUUAGAAAAAUGAGUUGAGGAGGGGGUCAGAGGUGGCGGCCUGAAUUUCUCAGACACUGGCCCCAUCACAGGGUCAAAUUCUCACAAAGAAGAAUUAUUCUCAAUGUCCUUGGUGUGCUGAGGGCUUUGGGGUGGGCACACACACACACACCUUUUGGCAUCAAAGGUAUUUUAAAUUUUCCCUUAGCUCAUUCUCUUCAAAUACACUCUUAAGUGGAAAAGUGAAAGCAAAGAAAUUUUCCAACUAUUGGAAUUGGAUCCAUGUUCCUCUUUCAUAAAAAUCUAUUGUUUUCUCUUCUCUCCUGUCUCUUUUUUAAUUAAGUAAAAAACAGAAGGCCCCAUCAGUGUCCCACCACAAGCCACCCAGCAGCAGCUUUCAGCUCUGAGACGCUAGGCACUUGGGGGACCUUUUGCAGGGGAGGAUGCCAUAUGUGCUCUCAUCUUCCCAGGACAUCAGCUGACUUGAUGAUAGUAUCUAGGAGGGCUGUCUCAGAGGGUGUGGAGAGGUACCACUCCCAUCCACUUCCCAUCGACCCAGACAGUAGUGCCGUGCAGCUGAAGACCAGAGAGCAUACUUUCCAGGGACAAUUAAAUACAGGCUUUUGUACCAAGGGUUCUGCUUGUUCCCUGAGGAAGCAGGCUCUUUGAAUCUUGGACCGCAUUUAAAAUAAAUCUCCAGCAGAACUCAAAUUCACUUAGCAAAUGAUAGCUUAUUCUGAACAUUUUGGCCCAAAACAGGCUACGUAUGAAAACGAGAGGAGGAUCUUAAAUCAAAGCUGUGUUCAAGUGACUACACAGAUAAACAGUUCCGAUUGCUGUUUUCCUUCCUGGUUACCAUCAGAGGUGUAUGAUUUUUGCUAACUCAUAUACAUGUGAAAAAGUAGUCCCAUAGGUUGAGAGGAAGGCAGUUUAGGAGGAACAUAGAAGAAGGGGGAAAAGUUACCAUCCUCAUAGAAUUUUUCAAAAGUAUUUAAGUUCCCUUACAAUAUCAACACACGGGAGAAUAAAUCUACCACACUCCCAGUUAACUACAUAAGACAGCCCACAGUCAGGGAAAACUCCUGUGUUCCUGAAGCUUAACUCUUAGAUUCAGAUCCCAGUAUAUACAUUAGCACAUUUUAAUCAUUAACAGAAAGGACAAAGCCCCAUGAAACUUUGCAGGCUGAGGCUACAGGCCAUUCUCCCAUUCAGUCAGAGGAACAGCUUCCAGUCUUGUAUUAUUUUAGUUUAUAAAACCACUUGGCUCAAACAUCCCCUGACAACUCUUUUUUGUUCUCAAUGAAUGUAAUUUUCGGGGUUUUUUUUUUAAUAAAAAAUGCAUUUUAUCCAUCUGUGAUGGACAUUAAGCCAACUUUUCUCUUCAGUCAGUAUAGACAGUUAAUUGCCUUGAUAAAUUGCUUCUUACUUUGGGAGUCACUGCAGUCAUAUUAAUUAUAAGGGCUUUUUUGCAUAAAAGUAGAGAAACCUAAAAUAUUCACACUAGAAAACAUACAUUGGACCACAUCUGUCAAAUAGUAUCCUAUACUAUUUAAACAAAAGCAGAGGCAAACAAACAGAUUUUUUAAAAUCUUUGCCUUUAGCCCAUUUGAAAUGCUAUCUCUUUGAAUGGGGAAGUAAGACAUUCAACAACGUAUUUAAAAUGAAGAAUCGGACUGUGAGCAAUACUCUUAAUUUUUUUUUCAAGUUCCUAGGUUGACAUCCCAAGCAUGUGCUUUUAUUAUAUCAAUUGCUGACAUCACAAACAUAAAUUGGAUCACUUUUAAUUAAAAUUCUUUCUGGGACUAAAAAUAAAGCUUUUAACGUCUAUAUCUUUAUAGCCUCAGGAAAUAGUUCUAUUAGGAAAAUUAAAACUUUGUUCACUUUCAAUAUAUCCAGGAUUCUAAAAGACGGCAACUUUUAGUUCGAUGCUCGGGCCGUUUCAAUUGUGGCUUAAAAAACUAACAGGCAAGAGAGUUUCGACGUUUAAAAGCAUAUACAUGACUUGCUUCCCCCACCUACUCUUAAGAAACCAAAAUAAGUGUUCUGCUUCUAUUUUAAACAAAAUGCUUUAUAGAAAAAUUAAGUGUUUGCAAAAAUGAAGGUGUCUGUGAUACUUGCCUCCUGAUUUGAUUAAAAUCCAAAACUUAUCAUCAGGUGUAGGGACAGGAAUUAACAUCAUUUGCUAUAAUGACAAAAAUGCCCAAGCCACCACCCGAGCUGGAAGGCAUCCUCCUUCAUGCUUUCUAUCAAGCAUGAAGUAAAUGCUAAGGAUUUCUUCUAGGAAAAAAAGUUAAUGUUUUAAAAAAAUAUUUUAAAUGUUUUCCUACCUAUCUGCAUCACCCUGCCAAAAACAGAGGUGUUAUCCACAGUGCUGCAGUUCCACCUUCGAUGUCGGAAUUGAUACUGGCAUUCUUUGAUGCCUGUCUUCGCGCCUUCUCCGAUGUACUGCAUGUGGUCCUGAUACAAGUGGCACAGUUUCUUCUGUCCUUGAGAAAGUCCUGCCAGUUGGCUGCAGAGAGGCUGUGCUCCUAUAAUAUAUACUUCUGACAUCUGAACAGGGUUAUUCAUACCUAGCGACCUGCAAGGGGGGGAGAUGUGCAUUCAAGAUUUACGUGAAAUCUCGAGGUGGGCCCCCUGAAAGCAUGUCAGCAAUACAUAGUUUUAAGCACACAGAUGCUUUUUUCUCUCCUGCUUGUCCUCAUGACAAAGUAUGAGAAGGGCUUCAUAAAACUCCUCUGUUUAAACUGCACUCAGAAAACGGAGGUAUUGUGCAGUCCCCAUCCUGCCAUCUGGCUCCUCAGUUAGUAUUUUCACUCCCUUCCUAGCCCCUGUCACCAUAUACCUGAACCAGUAUUUCCAAAAUCCACUCAGAAAAGGAGGAAACAGCAGUUUGAGGGACAGGCCUCUGACAUUAGAGAAAGUGACCCACUUUGCCCCACAAAUUGGACCAAUCUGCCUUGAAAACUUAUGAAUGCUGAAAGUAGACACAAUUAGAUACGGGUAGGAGAUAGCAGUUCCUUUUGACUGAUGGAAGAACAGAGGGACAAGUAUACAGACUGGAGAAAAUUCACCAUGUUUCUUGACAUUUUAAAAGGGCUCCUUAUGUGAUUGUGAGGGACCCAAGACAGGGUACCCAGUGAACAGAAGUCAUGUUUGACAGUCAGAAAAAUGCUGUUCAUUUACAGGGAAAAAAAUACCCAGAAUGCCG
RNAcentral lists this long non-coding RNA (5242 nucleotides) under Homo sapiens (human). RNAcentral describes it as "HSALNT0311927". The record is from RNAcentral. Lineage: Eukaryota; Metazoa; Chordata; Mammalia; Primates; Hominidae.